Molecule: ribosomal RNA, 322 nt
Filed under: uncultured eukaryote
Lineage: Eukaryota
Description: partial 18S ribosomal RNA
Rfam family: Eukaryotic small subunit ribosomal RNA
Source: RNAcentral
CCCUUAGAUGUUCUGGGCCGCACGCGUGCUACACUGAGUGGAUCAGCGGGUCAGGUUGCGCGAAAGUGUUUCCUAAUCUUGAAAUCCGCUCGUGAUGGGGAUUGACGGUUGCAAUUUUCCGUCAUGAACGAGGAAUACCUUGUAAGCGCGGGUCAUCAUCCCGCGCUGAAUACGUCCCUGCCCGUUGUACACACCGCCCGUCGCUCCUACCGAUUGAGUGGUCCGGUGAGGCUUUGGGAUCUGAGCGGAAAGAGCGUUUCGCUGUUUCUGCUCGGAAAACUCAGUCGAACCUUAUCAUUUAGAGGAAGGAGAAGUCGUAACA